AGUGAACGCUGGCGGUAGGCCUAACACAUGCAAGUCGAACGGCAGCACAGUAAGAGCUUGCUCUUACGGGUGGCGAGUGGCGGACGGGUGAGGAAUACAUCGGAAUCUACUUUUUCGUGGGGGCGAACGUAGGGAAACUUACGCUAAUACCGCAUACCACCUACGGGUGAAAGCAGGGGAUCUUCGGACCUUGCGCGAUUGAAUGAGCCGAUGUCGGAUUAGCUAGUUGGCGGGGUAAAGGCCCACCAAGGCGACGAUCCGUAGCUGGUCUGAGAGGAUGAUCAGCCACACUGGAACUGAGACACGGUCCAGACUCCUACGGGAGGCAGCAGUGGGGAAUAUUGGACAAUGGGCGCAAGCCUGAUCCAGCAAUACCGCGUGGGUGAAGAAGGCCUUCGGGUUGUAAAGCCCUUUUGUUGGGAAAGAAAAGCAGCAGGUUAAUACCCCGCUGUUCUGACGGUACCCAAAGAAUAAGCACCGGCUAACUUCGUG
RNAcentral lists this ribosomal RNA (492 nucleotides) under uncultured bacterium. Its description in RNAcentral is "partial 16S ribosomal RNA". It matches the Rfam family "Bacterial small subunit ribosomal RNA", at positions 29 to 507 of the family's 1533-position model. The record is from RNAcentral.